This 497-nucleotide ribosomal RNA is filed under the name uncultured bacterium. Its description in RNAcentral is "partial 16S ribosomal RNA". It matches the Rfam family "Bacterial small subunit ribosomal RNA", at positions 28 to 507 of the family's 1533-position model. The record is from RNAcentral.
GAUGAACGCUGGCGGCGUGCCUAAUACAUGCAAGUCGAGCGAACAGACGAGGAGCUUGCUCCUUUGACGUUAGCGGCGGACGGGUGAGUAACACGUGGAUAACCUACCUAUAAGACUGGGAUAACUUCGGGAAACCGGAGCUAAUACCGGAUAAUAUAUUGAACCGCAUGGUUCAAUAGUGAAAGACGGCUUUGCUGUCACUUAUAGAUGGAUCCGCGCCGCAUUAGCUAGUUGGUAAGGUAACGGCUUACCAAGGCGACGAUGCGUAGCCGACCUGAGAGGGUGAUCGGCCACACUGGAACUGAGACACGGUCCAGACUCCUACGGGAGGCAGCAGUAGGGAAUCUUCCGCAAUGGGCGAAAGCCUGACGGAGCAACGCCGCGUGAGUGAUGAAGGUCUUCGGAUCGUAAAACUCUGUUAUUAGGGAAGAACAAAUGUGUAAGUAACUAUGCACGUCUUGACGGUACCUAAUCAGAAAGCCACGGCUAACUACGUG